RNAcentral lists this ribosomal RNA (480 nucleotides) under uncultured Flavobacteriaceae bacterium. RNAcentral describes it as "bacterial SSU rRNA". It matches the Rfam family "Bacterial small subunit ribosomal RNA", at positions 28 to 505 of the family's 1533-position model. Lineage: Bacteria; Pseudomonadati; Bacteroidota; Flavobacteriia; Flavobacteriales; Flavobacteriaceae. The record is from RNAcentral.
GAUGAACGCUAGCGGCAGGCUUAACACAUGCAAGUCGAGGGGUAACGAGAGUGCUUGCACUUGUCGACGACCGGCGAACGGGUGCGUAACGCGUAUAGAAUCUGCCUUACACUGAGGGAUAGCCUUUGGAAACGAAGAUUAAUACCUCAUGGUACUAUUGAUUGGCAUCAAUUAAUAGUUAAAGGUUACGGUGUAAGAUGACUAUGCGUCCUAUUAGCUAGAUGGUAAGGUAACGGCUUACCAUGGCAACGAUAGGUAGGGGUCCUGAGAGGGAGAUCCCCCACACUGGUACUGAGACACGGACCAGACUCCUACGGGAGGCAGCAGUGAGGAAUAUUGGACAAUGGAGGCAACUCUGAUCCAGCCAUGCCGCGUGAAGGAUGACUGCCCUAUGGGUUGUAAACUUCUUUUAUAUAGGAAGAAACACUUCUACGUGUAGAAGCUUGACGGUACUAUAUGAAUAAGCACCGGCUAACUCCG